GAAUUUUUUUUUUUUCUAGUUCUUUUUUUUUUGUUGUUGUCCUUAGUUGUGGCAAUGAAUAUAAUUACAAUACUUGUAAUUCUAAGAUUAUGGAUUUGGAGUUAUACCCUGUUGCUUGAAUUUUCUGUUGAUAAGGAAUUCCUCUCCAAAAAUUCCAUGCCUUUGUCUGAAUGGAAGUUCCACACAGAUUUGAAUUGAUAGCAGUGUCAGAAAUGAUUUGUCUUUUGACUUGUGGAUAGAUUGAUAUGGAUUUUGAUUUUCAGAUGAGCUUUGUAUUUUUGUUUUGGGUUGAUGGGUAGUUACUGCAUGCUAAACGCUUUUUGCUUUGAAAAAUCAGUUCUUUGUAGGUAUCUCGAAAAUUCAGUUUUUCUUUUUCCCUGAAAAAAUUGAUUAAGUUCUAGAAUUCCAUAAGAUAUUCCCAGAUUGCACCUUAAUUUCUUAUGCUUACAUUUUGGUGCUGCUGCUUUCUCUGUGGCAAUUCCACACUACAAUCUCAAUGCUGUGCCAAUAAGAUGUGAUUAUAAUUUCUCAUGAUUCCAUGUCCCUUUGCCUUCUCAGGCUUCUGCACAGUCAGAUCCUAAGAGCAGAUCGUGUCUUUGGACUUUCUUCUUUGCAGCUUCUUUGAUUUGUAGUGCUUACUUCAUUGGUAGUUCAUCCUUUGGAAGUGAAUAUAAAGAUAGAUUGACAAGAUGGCAAGUCAGUGAGACAAUGCAGAGUACAACAUCCAACAAAUGCAAGGAUCAUUGCAGGCCUUCUGGAAGUGAGGCAUUGCCCCAAGGAAUUGUUAGAAAAACAUCAGACUUUGAAAUGCGGCCUUUAUGGAAAAAUUCCAUGAAAGAUGUGAGUGUAGUCAUCAUCACAAUACAUAAUCUGUGAUGAAAGGAACUUGAGUGCAUGAGAUAAUCUUUCAGAUGUAUAUGAUAAUUUCAAGUUUAUAGCAAUUGCUAUUGGGUCCAUAUUAUUGAAGGAUCAUGCAUUUUGUUCCUUCAAUGUGAACCAUGGCUGGUAUAAUACUGGUACUACUGUUGGGUUGCAUCAUACACUAGUUGUAUCAUGUCAUCAACCUCAUCAAGAAAUAUUUUGUGAGGCGAUUUUUUUACCGACAAGUAAUUCCGUGAAACAAAAGGAGCCUAGAACUCCAUUAUGACUUAUGCAUGACUAAAAGCAUAGUGAUAAUGUUUUGAUUGGGAAUUUCUGCUGGUCAUGUAUUUUAAGACUGGAUCUGGUGCUUUACAUCUGUAUGAAUUCAAGUAAAUAGGGGUUGGUAUCUGAUAAGUUUGAAGAGGAUGUAAAUCUUGAAUUUAAGAAGAAGCAAUAAUACAUUCACUAUUAUUAUUAAAAUUCCCUCUCCAUUUCUUAUAUUGUUUUGUUUGAGUGUCAGAACAAGCCAAAGCCUUCAAUGAACUUAUUAGCACUUGCAGUUGGAAUUAAGCAAAAAGAACAAGUGGACCAAAUUAUUAAGAAGGUGGUUGUCAAUCCUCACCUGCUUUUUGGCUUUGAAAAAUUUUCUCACCAUAUUUGUCUGAAAUUUUUUGUCUUCUUGCAGUUUCCUCUAAGUGAAUUCAUUGUGAUGCUUUUUCAUUAUGAUGGUUUUGUGGAUAAAUGGAGGGAUUUGCCAUGGAGUGAUCAUGUCAUCCAUGUGUCUGCAGUGAAUCAAACAAAAUGGUGGUUUGCAAAACGAUUUCUGCAUCCAGACAUAGUUGCUGAGUACGACUACAUAUUUCUUUGGGAUGAAGACCUUGGAGUUGAGAAUUUUAAUCCAAGACGAUAUCUGUCAAUUGUUAAGGAUGAGAGACUUGAAAUAUCACAGCCAGCUCUUGAUCCUGCCAAGUCAGCAGUGUCUCAUCCAAUUACUGCACGUCAACCAAAAUCAAGGGUGCACAGGUCAGUGUAAAUUAGUGUUUGGACUAACUGAAAUGGUGGCAUAUCUUUCUACAAACUGGGGAGAGAUCACACGAUUUGCUAUCAAUAUUUUUUGCUGUAGAUGAAGAAUAUUACAAUUGAAUUUUAUAAAUUGAAGGGGAUAUGACCAUUGUGAUUAAACUAUUUGGGGCCUUUUCAUUUGCUUGAACUUUUUUAGGUUAAAAAUUUAGUUGUUAACAUCUAGGACCCUCAUGCUUUCAAGAAUUUAACAAAAAAUAAUAAUAGAAAAAAAGGAACCUUCACUACACCUUGUUCUGUUUUAUUGUAACUAGUUUUUGCUGUUAUCUGUUUGUCCAAUUUGGUGGAUUAGUUUGCUAAACUUGGGUGCGUCUACUGAAAUUUGUUAUUUUCUGUUGAGAAUUUAAUUCAACAUCUAAUUUGGAUUUCCUUCUCAAUAGAGGUAAGGAUUAUGCACAGCUUAUAGAUUCUCUUAUUCUGAAUAACGAACAAUCUUGGUUUUGGGUAUAGAAUGUGAGUUUGACUAGUGGUUACCUUUUAACAGAAGGAUGUAUAAAUUUAAAGGCAGCGGAAGGUGUUAUCACAACAGCACUUCUCCUCCUUGCAUAGGUUGGGUGGAAAUGAUGGCACCUGUCUUCUCAAAGGCUGCUUGGCGAUGUGUAUGGUAUAUGAUCCAGAAUGACUUG
This 2567-nucleotide unclassified non-coding RNA is filed under the name Hevea brasiliensis (rubber tree). Lineage: Eukaryota; Viridiplantae; Streptophyta; Magnoliopsida; Malpighiales; Euphorbiaceae. The record is from RNAcentral.